GUCCUAGCUGUAAACGAUGAACACUUGGUAUAGCGGGUAUCGAAUCCCGCCGUGCCGGAGCUAACGCAUUAAGUGUUCCGCCUGGGGAGUACGGUCGCAAGGCUGAAACUCAAAGGAAUUGGACGGGGGCCCGCACAAGCGGUGGAGCAUGUGGUUUAAUUCGACGCAACGCGAAGAACCUUACCUGGGCUCGAAGUGCAGUGGAAGCCGGAUGAAAGUUCGGUGCCCGCAAGGGCCGCUGUAUAGGUGCUGCAUGGCUGUCGU
This 264-nucleotide ribosomal RNA is filed under the name uncultured bacterium. RNAcentral describes it as "partial 16S ribosomal RNA". It matches the Rfam family "Bacterial small subunit ribosomal RNA", at positions 793 to 1055 of the family's 1533-position model. The record is from RNAcentral.